GAUGAACGCUGGCGGCGUGCCUAAUACAUGCAAGUCGAGCGAACGGACGAGAAGCUUGCUUCUCUGAUGUUAGCGGCGGACGGGUGAGUAACACGUGGAUAACCUACCUAUAAGACUGGGAUAACUUCGGGAAACCGGAGCUAAUACCGGAUAAUAUUUUGAACCGCAUGGUUCAAAAGUGAAAGACGGUCUUGCUGUCACUUAUAGAUGGAUCCGCGCUGCAUUAGCUAGUUGGUAAGGUAACGGCUUACCAAGGCAACGAUGCAUAGCCGACCUGAGAGGGUGAUCGGCCACACUGGAACUGAGACACGGUCCAGACUCCUACGGGAGGCAGCAGUGGGGAAUCUUCCGCAAUGGGCGAAAGCCUGACGGAGCAACGCCGCGUGAGUGAUGAAGGUCUUCGGAUCGUAAAACUCUGUUAUUAGGGAAGAACAUAUGUGUAAGUAACUGUGCACAUCUGGACGGUACCUAAUCAGAAAGCCACGGCUAACUACGU
Molecule: ribosomal RNA, 496 nt
Filed under: uncultured bacterium
Lineage: Bacteria
Description: partial 16S ribosomal RNA
Rfam family: Bacterial small subunit ribosomal RNA
Source: RNAcentral